GCUAGGUGUGGUAGUGCAUGCCUGUAAUCCUAGUGGCACAGGAGGCUGAGGUAGGAGGAUCACAAGUUCAAAGCCAGCCUCAGCAAUGGUGAGGCCCUAAGCAACUCAGUGAGACCCUGUCUCUA
RNAcentral lists this small RNA (125 nucleotides) under Marmota monax (woodchuck). The record is from RNAcentral. Lineage: Eukaryota; Metazoa; Chordata; Mammalia; Rodentia; Sciuridae.